Molecule: ribosomal RNA, 301 nt
Filed under: uncultured bacterium
Lineage: Bacteria
Description: partial 16S ribosomal RNA
Rfam family: Bacterial small subunit ribosomal RNA
Source: RNAcentral
CAGCCGCCGCGGUAAUACGUAGGGAGCAAGCGUUGUUCGGAUUUACUGGGCGUAAAGGGCGCGUAGGCGGCGCGGUAAGUCACUUGUGAAAUCUCUGAGCUUAACUCAGAACGGCCAAGUGAUACUGCUGUGCUAGAGUGCGGAAGAGGCAACCGGAAUUCUUGGUGUAGCGGUGAAAUGCGUAGAUAUCAAGAGGAACACCUGAGGCGAAGGCGGGUUGCUGGGCCGACACUGACGCUGAUGCGCGAAAGCCAGGGGAGCGAACAGGAUUAGAUACCCCGGUAGUCCCUGUCUCUUAUAC